AGCAGUCGCCGCGGGAAUACGGAGGGCGCGAGCGUUACCCGGAUUUACUGGGCGUAAAGGGCGUGUAGGCGGCCUGGGGCGUCCCAUGUGAAAGGCCACGGCUCAACCGUGGAGGAGCGUGGGAUACGCUCAGGCUAGAGGGUGGGAGAGGGUGGUGGAAUUCCCGGAGUAGCGGUGAAAUGCGUAGAUAUCAGUCGGAACACCCAUGGCGAAGGCAGCUGCCUGGCCUAAUACUGACGCUGAGGUGCGAAAGCGUGGGGAGCGAACGGGAUUAGAUACCCCCGUAGUCCCUGUCUCUUAUAC
This 303-nucleotide ribosomal RNA is filed under the name uncultured bacterium. Its description in RNAcentral is "partial 16S ribosomal RNA". It matches the Rfam family "Bacterial small subunit ribosomal RNA", at positions 507 to 807 of the family's 1533-position model. The record is from RNAcentral.